GAUGAACGCUAGCGGCAGGCUUAAUACAUGCAAGUUGAGGGGCAGCAUGAUAUACGCGAGUAUAUUGAUGGCGACCGGCGGACGGGUGAGUAAUAGGUAGGAGACCUACCUCAUACAGGGGGAUAGCAUAGAGAAAUCUGUGGUAAUACCCCAUGAGGUUAUAUGAAUAGAGGCAUAUAAUCAAAGCAUAAGCGAUUAUGCGGUAUGAGAGGGGCCUACUGACCAUUAGCUAGUUGGUGAGGUAAGGGCUCACCAAGGCGAAGAUGGUUAGGGGUUUUGAGAGAGAGACCCCCCACAUUGGAACUGAGAGACGGUCCAGACUCCUACGGGAGGCAGCAGUAGGGAAUAUUGGGCAAUGGGCGAAAGCCUGACCCAGCCAUGCCGCGUGAAGGAAGACGGCCUUAUGGGUUGUAAACUUCUUUACUACGCGAAUAGAGGUUAGUACGAGAUACUAAUAGGAAGUGUAGUAGUAAAAGCACCGGCUAACUCCGUGCC
RNAcentral lists this ribosomal RNA (495 nucleotides) under uncultured bacterium. RNAcentral's name for it is "bacterial SSU rRNA". It matches the Rfam family "Bacterial small subunit ribosomal RNA", at positions 28 to 509 of the family's 1533-position model. The record is from RNAcentral.